RNAcentral lists this ribosomal RNA (253 nucleotides) under uncultured bacterium. RNAcentral's name for it is "partial 16S ribosomal RNA". It matches the Rfam family "Bacterial small subunit ribosomal RNA", at positions 524 to 776 of the family's 1533-position model. The record is from RNAcentral.
UACGUAGGGUGCAAGCGUUAAUCGGAAUUACUGGGCGUAAAGCGUGCGCAGGCGGUUUGCUAAGAGAGAUGUGAAAUCCCCGGGCUUAACCCGGGAACUGCGUCCGAUACUGGUGGGCUUGAAUCCGGGAGAGGGAUGUGGAAUUCCAGGUGUAGCGGUGAAAUGCGUAGAUAUCUGGAGGAACACCGGUGGCGAAGGCGGCAUCCUGGACCGGUAUUGACGCUGAGGCGCGAAAGCUAGGGGAGCAAACGGG